UACGGAGGGGGCUAGCGUUGUUCGGAAUUACUGGGCGUAAAGCGCACGUAGGCGGCUUUGCAAGUCAGAGGUGAAAGCCCGGGGCUCAACCCCGGAAUUGCCUUUGAGACUGCAUCGCUAGAAUUGUGGAGAGGUAAGUGGAAUUCCGAGUGUAGAGGUGAAAUUCGUAGAUAUUCGGAAGAACACCAGUGGCGAAGGCGACUUACUGGACACAUAUUGACGCUGAGGUGCGAAAGCGUGGGGAGCAGACAGG
RNAcentral lists this ribosomal RNA (253 nucleotides) under uncultured bacterium. Its description in RNAcentral is "partial 16S ribosomal RNA". It matches the Rfam family "Bacterial small subunit ribosomal RNA", at positions 524 to 776 of the family's 1533-position model. The record is from RNAcentral.